RNAcentral lists this small nuclear RNA (191 nucleotides) under Castor canadensis (American beaver). RNAcentral's name for it is "U2 spliceosomal RNA (ENSCCNG00000003708.1)". It matches the Rfam family "U2 spliceosomal RNA". Rfam says of the family: U2 is a small nuclear RNA (snRNA) component of the spliceosome (involved in pre-mRNA splicing). Complementary binding between U2 snRNA (in an area lying towards the 5' end but 3' to hairpin I) and the branchpoint sequence (BPS) of the intron results the bulging out of an unpaired adenosine, on the BPS, which initiates a nucleophilic attack at the intronic 5' splice site, thus starting the first of two transesterification reactions that mediate splicing. Lineage: Eukaryota; Metazoa; Chordata; Mammalia; Rodentia; Castoridae. The record is from Rfam by way of RNAcentral.
AUCGCUUCUCCACCUUUUGGCUAAGAUCAAGUAUAGUAUCUGUUCUUAUCAGUUUAAUAACUGAUAUGUCAUCUAUCUGAGGGCAAUAUAUUAAAUGGAUUUUUGGAGCAGAGAGGUAGAAUAUGAGCUCACUCUGUCCACUCCACACAUGGACCUAGUAUUGUAAUUCCUCCAGAAAUGAUGCGCCCUUU